AGUAACGCGUAGGUAACCUGCCUUGUAGCGGGGGAGUAACUAUUGGAAACGAUAGCUAAUACCGCGUAACAAUGGGUGACUCAUGUCAUUUAUUUAAAAGGGGGCAAAAUGCUCCACUACAAGAUGGACCUGCGUUGUAUUAGCUAGUAGGUGAGGUAACGGCUCACCUAGGCGACGAUACAUAGCCGACCUGAGAGGGUGAUCGGCCACACUGGGACUGAGACACGGCCCAG
This 233-nucleotide ribosomal RNA is filed under the name uncultured bacterium. RNAcentral's name for it is "partial 16S ribosomal RNA". It matches the Rfam family "Bacterial small subunit ribosomal RNA", at positions 109 to 334 of the family's 1533-position model. The record is from RNAcentral.